ACAGCAGCAGCCGCGGUAAUACGAAGGGGGCUAGCGUUGCUCGGAAUGACUGGGCGUAAAGGGCGCGUAGGCGGAUCACGCAGUCAGAUGUGAAAUUCCUGGGCUUAACCUGGGGGCUGCAUUUGAGACGCGUGGUUUAGAGUGUGAAAGAGGGUCGUGGAAUUCCCAGUGUAGAGGUGAAAUUCGUAGAUAUUGGGAAGAACACCGGUGGCGAAGGCGGCGACCUGGUUCAUGACUGACGCUGAGGCGCGAAAGCGUGGGGAGCAAACAGGAUUAGAUACCCGAGUAGUCCCUGUCUCUUAUAC
Molecule: ribosomal RNA, 305 nt
Filed under: uncultured bacterium
Lineage: Bacteria
Description: partial 16S ribosomal RNA
Rfam family: Bacterial small subunit ribosomal RNA
Source: RNAcentral